Molecule: ribosomal RNA, 731 nt
Filed under: uncultured Leptotrichia sp.
Lineage: Bacteria; Fusobacteriati; Fusobacteriota; Fusobacteriia; Fusobacteriales; Leptotrichiaceae
Description: bacterial SSU rRNA
Rfam family: Bacterial small subunit ribosomal RNA
Source: RNAcentral
GAUGAACGCUGACAGAAUGCUUAACACAUGCAAGUCUUUGGCGAAGCUGUGCUUGCACAGCCUAGCCAGGCGGACGGGUGAGUAACGCGUAAGGAACUUGCCCUGCAGUCAGGGAUAACAGACGGAAACGACUGAUAAGACCUGGUAAAGUCAGGCGGACUCAUGUCCAGCCUGAUGAAAAGAGAUGCUGCAGGAGAGCCUUGCGUCCUAUUAGCUUGUUGGUGGGGUAACGGCCCACCAAGGCGAUGAUAGGUAGCCGGCCUGAGAGGGUGGACGGCCACAAGGGGACUGAGAUACGGCCCUUACUCCUACGGGAGGCAGCAGUGGGGAAUAUUGGACAAUGGGGGCAACCCUGAUCCAGCAAUUCUGUGUGCACGAUGAAGGUUUUCGGAUUGUAAAGUGCUUUCAGCAGGGAAGAAAAAAAUGACGGUACCUGCAGAAGAAGCGACGGCUAAAUACGUGCCAGCAGCCGCGGUAAUACGUAUGUCGCAAGCGUUAUCCGGAAUUAUUGGGCAUAAAGGGCAUCUAGGCGGCCAGAUAAGUCUGGGGUGAAAACUUGCGGCUCAACCGCAAGCCUGCCCUGGAAACUAUGCGGCUAGAGUACUGGAGAGGUGGACGGAACUGCACGAGUAGAGGUGAAAUUCGUAGAUAUGUGCAGGAAUGCCGAUGAUGAAGAUAGUUCACUGGACGGUAACUGACGCUGAAGUGCGAAAGCUAGGGGAGCAAACAGG